RNAcentral lists this ribosomal RNA (253 nucleotides) under uncultured bacterium. RNAcentral describes it as "partial 16S ribosomal RNA". It matches the Rfam family "Bacterial small subunit ribosomal RNA", at positions 524 to 776 of the family's 1533-position model. The record is from RNAcentral.
UACGGAGGAUGCAAGCGUUAUCCGGAAUGAUUGGGCGUAAAGCGUCCGCAGGUGGCUAUGUAAGUCUGCUGUUAAAGAGUGAGGCUCAACCUCAUAAGAGCAGUGGAAACUACAUAGCUAGAGUGCGUUCGGGGCAAAGGGAAUUCCUGGUGUAGCGGUGAAAUGCGUAGAGAUCAGGAAGAACACCGGUGGCGAAAGCGCUUUGCUAGGCCGCAACUGACACUGAGGGACGAAAGCUAGGGGAGCGAAUGGG